AUGGGAUUCACUGAAUUCAAUGCUGCUUCAUACUUCAGAGUUCAGACAUUUAUAUGUGCACAACAUGUGCCUUCUAAUUACGAGGCGUCUACUGUUUCUGAAUUUUGGGGUGGCAGCAACAAGGGCGAGGAGCAUGAUCGUGACACAGAGAUGGGCAAGUGCAGGGAAUGCAGGCAGCGGAAAGUUGUUGCGUUGCGGUUACCAACUACAGGGCCAAAUAUGUCGCCAGCCAUCCGCGCAUUAACUAAUUUAUGGCAGUGCUUUUGCUGGAGAUGGAAAUUCAUAGAGAUGACGCCCUAUUGA
This 303-nucleotide ribosomal RNA is filed under the name Triticum aestivum (bread wheat). RNAcentral's name for it is "partial small subunit ribosomal RNA". The record is from RNAcentral. Lineage: Eukaryota; Viridiplantae; Streptophyta; Magnoliopsida; Poales; Poaceae.